AGGAUGAACGCUGGCGGCGUGCUUAACACAUGCAAGUCGAACGAUGAAGGCUGGAGCUUGCUCUGGCUGGAUUAGUGGCGAACGGGUGAGUAACACGUGAGUAACCUGCCCCAGACUCUGGGAUAAGCGCUGGAAACGGCGUCUAAUACCGGAUACGAGCUUCCACCGCAUGGUGAGGAGCUGGAAAGAAUUUCGGUCUGGGAUGGACUCGCGGCCUAUCAGCUUGUUGGUGAGGUAAUGGCUCACCAAGGCGACGACGGGUAGCCGGGCCUGGAGAGGGUGACCGGCCA
This 290-nucleotide ribosomal RNA is filed under the name uncultured soil bacterium. RNAcentral's name for it is "partial 16S ribosomal RNA". It matches the Rfam family "Bacterial small subunit ribosomal RNA", at positions 26 to 310 of the family's 1533-position model. The record is from RNAcentral.